GAUGAACGCUGGCGGCGUGCCUAAUACAUGCAAGUCGAGCGAACAGACGAGGAGCUUGCUCCUCUGACGUUAGCGGCGGACGGGUGAGUAACACGUGGAUAACCUACCUAUAAGACUGGGAUAACUUCGGGAAACCGGAGCUAAUACCGGAUAAUAUAUUGAACCGCAUGGUUCAAUAGUGAAAGUCGGUUUUUCUGUCACUUAUAGAUGGAUCCGCGCCGCAUUAGCUAGUUGGUAAGGUAACGGCUUACCAAGGCAACGAUGCGUAGCCGACCUGAGAGGGUGAUCGGCCACACUGGAACUGAGACACGGUCCAGACUCCUACGGGAGGCAGCAGUAGGGAAUCUUCCGCAAAGGGCGAAAGCCUGACGGAGCAACGCCGCGUGAGUGAUGAAGGUCUUCGGAUCGUAAAACUCUGUUAUUAGGGAAGAACAAAUGUGUAAGUAACUAUGCACGUCUUGACGGUACCUAAUCAGAAAGCCACGGCUAACUACGUG
This 497-nucleotide ribosomal RNA is filed under the name uncultured bacterium. Its description in RNAcentral is "partial 16S ribosomal RNA". It matches the Rfam family "Bacterial small subunit ribosomal RNA", at positions 28 to 507 of the family's 1533-position model. The record is from RNAcentral.